CCUACGGGCGGCAGCAGUGGGGAAUAUUGGGCAAUGGGCGCAAGCCUGACCCAGCAACGCCGCGUGAAGGAAGAAGGCUUUCGGGUUGUAAACUUCUUUUCUCAGGGACGAAGCAAGUGACGGUACCUGAGGAAUAAGCCACGGCUAACUACGUGCCAGCAGCCGCGGUAAUACGUAGGUGGCAAGAGUUAUCCGGAUUUACUGGGUGUAAAGGGCGUGUAGGCGGGGACGCAAGUCAGAGGUGAAACCCACGGGCUCAACCUGUGGCCUGCCUUUGAAACUGUGUUUCUUGAGUACUGGAGAGGCAGACGGAAUUCCUGGUGUAGCGGUGAAAUGCGUAGAUAUUAGGAGGAACACCAGUGGCGAAGGCGGUCUGCUGGA
RNAcentral lists this ribosomal RNA (381 nucleotides) under uncultured bacterium. RNAcentral's name for it is "partial 16S ribosomal RNA". It matches the Rfam family "Bacterial small subunit ribosomal RNA", at positions 338 to 733 of the family's 1533-position model. The record is from RNAcentral.